This 256-nucleotide ribosomal RNA is filed under the name uncultured prokaryote. RNAcentral's name for it is "partial 16S ribosomal RNA". It matches the Rfam family "Bacterial small subunit ribosomal RNA", at positions 524 to 780 of the family's 1533-position model. The record is from RNAcentral.
CACGUAGGGGCGAGCGUUGUCCGGAAUUACUGGGCGUAAAGGGCGCGCAGGCUGUUAUGCGAGUCUGCUGUGAAAUGUACCGGCUCAACCGGUGCCUUGCGGCGGAUACUGCAUAGCUGGAGUACUGGAGAGGGAAGUGGAAUUCCCGGUGUAGUGGUGAAAUGCGUAGAUAUCGCGAGGAACUCCGAUUGCGCAGGCAGCUUACUAAACCAUAACUGACGCUCAGGCACGAAGGCGUGGGGAUCAAACAGGAUUA